This 614-nucleotide long non-coding RNA is filed under the name Junco hyemalis (dark-eyed junco). Its description in RNAcentral is "lncRNA (ENSJHYG00000014280.1)". Lineage: Eukaryota; Metazoa; Chordata; Aves; Passeriformes; Passerellidae. The record is from RNAcentral.
UGUUUGUACCUGACACCAAACACAGCUUUGCAUCUCACAUCCCACACCUGAAUCUCCUGAUUUAAAAACUUCUCCCCUCCAUAAAGAAUAUUUAACAAAGUUCCACUGAAACACCCCAGCUUUUGGUACCAACCAGAAUUAAAAUGAGUUGGAGCCCCACAUGCUGAGGUGGUUUUCCAUCUGUCUGGCUCAAUAUUUCAGUUGACUCACCUUUAUGUGCCUCUGUGUUUCCAUACACACAGCACCUUGGAUUUCUCAGAUCCUGUUUCAAGCCCUUCCGAGGAAAUAAGGGCUUGUCUGCCCCGGGGAGCUGUUGUGAAAUACUCUGGAGUGUGAAUUUAAAAUGCAGCACUCUGCCUGCAUUAACUCCUUGUGGGAAUGCUCUGUUCUGCACACAAAAUGCUCGGCAGCUUCCUUUAAUCCGCUCUGCUAAGAUUGGAAUGACCAAAACCAGCGGCUCCCGUGCAGAUGUUUAUUCUCCUCCCGCACCUCUGUUUGUUCGCUUUCGGAGGCAGGGCCGGGUGAUGCCCAAGGUGCGUUCCUGCAGCGCAUUCCCAGCCUCUCUCCCACAGCCCAGCCCUCCCCUGACCUGACCACAACCUCCCUCGGGUCCC